UAGAUUAGAUUGAUCACUCCGUGCCAGCACAACACACGUAGCAGUCGCCGUGAGACACCGGCCGGAGCACGAGAGUGCAUGUUCAUCUUGCUCCCUUCAUUUCAGGGAAGUGACGGAGACGGCGCCCUACUUACGGAAAGCACUGCCGAUCCAGUAGGAGUGUCCCACACAUCAGAAUCACUCGUAGCCGUUCUUCAUGCAUCGAUUGGACUUUGAC
RNAcentral lists this long non-coding RNA (217 nucleotides) under Setaria italica (foxtail millet). RNAcentral's name for it is "long non-coding RNA (SITA_LNC007305)". Lineage: Eukaryota; Viridiplantae; Streptophyta; Magnoliopsida; Poales; Poaceae. The record is from RNAcentral.